AGCAGCCGCGGUAAUUCCAGCUCCAAUAGCGUAUAUUAAAGUUGUUGCAGUUAAAAAGCUCGUAGUUGAAUUUCGGGACCAAUCUGCCGGUCGUGCCUCCGGUACGCACUGGUUUUAUUGGUUUCUCCCUUCUGACGAACCAUGAUGUCAUUAAUUUGGUGUCAUGGGGAAUCAGGACUGUUACUUUGAAAAAAUUAGAGUGUUUAUAGCAGGCUUACGCUUGAAUACAUUAGCAUGGAAUAAUGAAAUAGGACGUUUGACCCUAUUUUGUUGGUUUCUAGGAUCGACGUAAUGAUUAAUAGGGAUAGUUGGGGGCAUUAGUAUUCAAUUGUCAGAGGUGAAAUUCUUGGAUUUAUUGAAGACUAACUACUGCGAAAGCAUUUGCCAAGGAUGUUUUCAUUAAUCAAGAACGAAAGUUAGGGGAUCGAAGACGAUCAGAUACCGUCGUAGUCUUAACCAUAAACUAUGCCGACUAGGGAUCGGAUGAUGUUAAUUUUUAAUGACUCAUUCGGCGCCUUAC
RNAcentral lists this ribosomal RNA (520 nucleotides) under uncultured Glomus. RNAcentral's name for it is "SSU rRNA". It matches the Rfam family "Eukaryotic small subunit ribosomal RNA", at positions 569 to 1091 of the family's 1831-position model. The record is from RNAcentral. Lineage: Eukaryota; Fungi; Glomeromycota; Glomeromycetes; Glomerales; Glomeraceae.